UAGGGAAUCUUCUACAAAUGGGCGAAAGCCUGAUGGUGCAACGCCGCGUGUGUGAUGAAGGGUUUCGGCUCGUAAAACACUGUUGUAAGAGAAGAAUGACAUUGAGAGUAACUGUUCAAUGUGUGACGGUAUCUUACCAGAAAGGAACGGCUAAAUACGUGCCAC
Molecule: ribosomal RNA, 165 nt
Filed under: uncultured bacterium
Lineage: Bacteria
Description: partial 16S rRNA
Rfam family: Bacterial small subunit ribosomal RNA
Source: RNAcentral